RNAcentral lists this ribosomal RNA (498 nucleotides) under uncultured bacterium. Its description in RNAcentral is "partial 16S ribosomal RNA". It matches the Rfam family "Bacterial small subunit ribosomal RNA", at positions 28 to 507 of the family's 1533-position model. The record is from RNAcentral.
GACGAACGCUGGCGGCGUGCCUAAUACAUGCAAGUCGAACGAGAGCGCCCGGUGCUUGCACUGGUCAAUCUAGUGGCGAACGGGUGAGUAACACGUGGGUAACCUGCCCAUCAGAGGGGGAUAACAUUCGGAAACGGAUGCUAAAACCGCAUAGGUCUUCGAACCGCAUGGUUUGAAGAGGAAAAGAGGCGCAAGCUUCUGCUGAUGGAUGGACCCGCGGUGCAUUAGCUAGUUGGUGAGGUAACGGCUCACCAAGGCCGUGAUGCAUAGCCGACCUGAGAGGGUGAUCGGCCACAUUGGGACUGAGACACGGCCCAAACUCCUACGGGAGGCAGCAGUAGGGAAUCUUCCGCAAUGGACGCAAGUCUGACGGAGCAACGCCGCGUGAGUGAAGAAGGUUUUCGGAUCGUAAAACUCUGUUGUUAGAGAAGAAUAAGUGCUAGAGUAACUGUUAGCGCCUUGACGGUACCUAACCAGAAAGCCACGGCUAACUACGUG